Molecule: ribosomal RNA, 1128 nt
Filed under: Triticum aestivum (bread wheat)
Lineage: Eukaryota; Viridiplantae; Streptophyta; Magnoliopsida; Poales; Poaceae
Description: partial small subunit ribosomal RNA
Source: RNAcentral
AUGGGAUGGGAGGAAGCGUUUUCCCCUCCUUGUUCUUCCCCGCGGUCGGCGGCGGCCAGAGCUUCGACCAGUCCAGGAGUCAUGCUCAGAACCCGCCACCUGUUCGACGAAAUGCACAAGAAGGCUGUUGACACAGGCAUGGAUCCUUUUCGCGUCCUCUCCGACGAUGUGCUCGAGCACAUCCUUUCCCUUAUGCCGGGGGAUGAAGCCCUACAGACUUGCGUGCUCGGUACCCAGUGGCGUGACCUCUGGAGGCGCAAAACCAACUUGCGCUUCAUCUUUGAGAACUGGUCAAGUUUUAGUGGCGAGCGCUUCAAUAAAUUGGUGAAGCUGAUAAUCCAUCUUAGGGGGGAUGCAUCUCUGACCAACUGCCAUAUCAAUCCCUACAGUGAUGAGGACUAUAUCAAUUUCACAGAAGCCAAGCUGUUGGUCGAGUACGUUCUAAAGUGCCGGGUUGAGAAGCUCUCGAUUUGUGCUAGUGAUAUUUUGUAUGAACCAUUACUAGUCGAUUCACCUCUCAUCUCCCGCCACUUGAGGACCAUAGAAUUUGGAUUCCUUGACCUCGUAAAUUCCUCAGUAGAUUUCUCGGGCUGCCCAGAAUUAGAGGAUCUAACAAUAGAAAGAUGCUACAUUGACGCAGGGAAGAUAUGUUCUAACUCACUAAAGUAUCUGCGGUUAGUUGGGAAUUGUACCUUCUCCGAGGAUAUCCACAUUCCUAUUGCUGCCCCGCGCCUUAUCUCACUGGAACUAGGUAGUUUUCAGUGCUUGUCUCCCUUCCUUGAAGAGAUGCCAUUACUGGAAAAAGCAUCUAUUUUGCUUGGCAAUGGGUGUUACAAUGUCUGUCAUAGUGACCGUAAAUGCAGUGGAUGUUCUCACAAGAAGUGUCUGCUUCUCAAUGGAUUAUCCAAUGUUGUUGAUUUGAAAUUGAUUGCUGCGCCUGAAUUGCCUAUCUUCAAACGGGAUUUGGAAUGGUGCCCUAAAUUUGACAAAUUAAAGACUCUGAAACUCAAUGAUUGGUUUACGGCUACUGACCUAGUUUGCAUUCUCCAACACUCUCCAAAUCUUGAGAAGCUCACUCUUAAGAUCGAUUUCCCUGAGGUAUUUGAUUCAAAUAUGUUGAUGUAUUAG